UACGAAGGGGGCUAGCGUUGUUCGGAAUUACUGGGCGUAAAGCGCACGUAGGCGGGUCGUUAAGUCAGGGGUGAAAUCCCGGAGCUCAACUCCGGAACUGCCUUUGAUACUGGCGAUCUUGAGAUCGGAAGAGGUGAGUGGAAUUCCCAGUGUAGAGGUGAAAUGCUUAGAUAUGACAUAGAACACCAAUUGCGAAGGCAGCUCGCUACACUAUUAUUGACGCUGAGGCACGAAAGCGUGGGGAUCAAACAGG
This 253-nucleotide ribosomal RNA is filed under the name uncultured bacterium. RNAcentral's name for it is "partial 16S ribosomal RNA". It matches the Rfam family "Bacterial small subunit ribosomal RNA", at positions 524 to 776 of the family's 1533-position model. The record is from RNAcentral.